AUCUCUUUUCAGCCUUUUGUUUAAGAUCAAGUGUAGUAUCUGUUCUUCUCAGUUUAAGAACAUCUAGAAUAUGCUGUACACAUAUUUUUAUACCCAUCUAUAAUACAUGGCAGGGACUCUGAAGCAAGACAUGUCAGGUGACUUCUGCAGCAUGAGUCACAAAUAAA
This 167-nucleotide small nuclear RNA is filed under the name Octodon degus (degu). Its description in RNAcentral is "U2 spliceosomal RNA (ENSODEG00000022125.1)". It matches the Rfam family "U2 spliceosomal RNA". Rfam says of the family: U2 is a small nuclear RNA (snRNA) component of the spliceosome (involved in pre-mRNA splicing). The record is from Rfam by way of RNAcentral. Lineage: Eukaryota; Metazoa; Chordata; Mammalia; Rodentia; Octodontidae.